This 253-nucleotide ribosomal RNA is filed under the name uncultured bacterium. Its description in RNAcentral is "partial 16S ribosomal RNA". It matches the Rfam family "Bacterial small subunit ribosomal RNA", at positions 524 to 776 of the family's 1533-position model. The record is from RNAcentral.
GACAGAGGGUGCAAACGUUGUUCGGAAUUACUGGGCGUAAAGCGCGUGUAGGCGGUUCGUAAAGUCGGAUGUGAAAGCCCUGGGCUUAACCCAGGAAGUGCAUUCGAAACUCACGAACUUGAGUCCCGGAGAGGAAGGCGGAAUUCUCGGUGUAGAGGUGAAAUUCGUAGAUAUCGAGAGGAACAUCGGUGGCGAAGGCGGCCUUCUGGACGGUGACUGACGCUGAGACGCGAAAGCGUGGGGGGCAAACAGG